RNAcentral lists this ribosomal RNA (537 nucleotides) under uncultured bacterium. RNAcentral describes it as "bacterial SSU rRNA". It matches the Rfam family "Bacterial small subunit ribosomal RNA", at positions 374 to 916 of the family's 1533-position model. The record is from RNAcentral.
GGUCGCAGCCUGAUCCGCAUGCCGCGUGAGGAUGAAGGCUUUCUGAUUGGAAAACUGUUUUUUUAUGGGAGAACCCGGAUGCGAGUAUCGGGGUGAAAGUACUGUACUACGAAGGAUCGGCCAAGUCCAUGCCAGGGGCCCCGGUAAUACCGAGGAUUCAAGCGUUAUCCGGAAUUAUUGGGUUUAAUGGGUGCGUAAGCUGUUUACUAAGUUAUAGGUGAAAGCCCGUGGCUCAACCACGGAAUUGCCUCUAAUACUGCUAAGCUAGAGAAUAGUUGCUGUUGGCGGAAUGUGUGGUGUAGCGGUGAAACGCUUAGAUAUCACACAGAACACCGAUGGCUUAAGCAACUGACAAAGCUAUAUCUGACGCUAAGGCACGAAAGCGUGGGGAGCAAACAGGAUUAGAUACCCUGGUAGUCCACGCGUUAGACGAUGAUAACUCGUUGCCGGCGAUUCACAAUCGGUGACUUACCGAAAGCGUUAAGUUAUCCCCCUGGGGAGUACCUUCGCAAUAAUGAGACUCAAAGGAAUUGACGG